GCACCAUCCGCAUCAUCACGCAACAUCCGUCCAGGCGGCGGCCCACCACCCGCACGCGGGGAUGAGCAUGCACUGAGCCCGGUGGGGCCCGGAACCGGUGCCUGCAGUUCCGCUGCCGCAACGGCCCUGGGCUCCCCCCUAUCCUACCCCCUCAACCUAAACCUCGUUCAGAAUCACGCGACCAUCGCCCACCAUCACGCCACCGCCCAUCACCAACACCAGAAUCACCAUCACCAUCACCACCACCACCAUCACCACCAACAGCAACAACAGCACUCACGUCAAAGCAACUCCUAUUCCGUGCAACAAAAUCCUGGCACGCCGGGGACCGCGCAGACUCCCUCACCCUCGUCCCCCGCGCCUGUACAUAGUCUCUAGGUUGACGCUUCGCCUCUUUCGUACCCUCUCCACCUCUCGACCUACACCUGGUAGUACCGACGAAAUUGUGCUUUCGAAUCUUCGGUUUCACCUAAUCGACCAUAGAACCCCCCUUACCUCGAACAGCCUCGACUGUUAACGUUUUACCUGCCGGCCUGUUUCGAUUCGAAUGACCGCAAUUGUUCUUAGAGUUCGAUAACUUUUUUUACGUCUAAUGCAGUAACAGAUUGAGUCCCGAACGAAAUUUCCACGACUUUCCAUUCGCGCCGAAAUCCUCACAGCUUCUUUAUUUAGCUUGUUUUCGACGUUUACAGAAAUCGAUAUACGAAAACUAAAAGCAUUCGAUACAUCGAUCAACUUAUUCCCGAUGUGUCUAGUAUUCCUAAUGACGUUCGGAAGUUUGCAGGAAUUAAGAUCUAUCAAUGUUAAGCGUUUUAAUCGCGGCUCGAACGGAAAGAAUGACAUCGGUGUUCGUCACGGCACUCAACCUGUUAAUCUGAGCGAGAGUCAACUUGCGCUCCCUAUAGGUACAUCAAAACCCUUGAUUAUUCCCUUAAAUUGAGUACUAUAAAUUGACAGUUGAGAUUCCCGACUGUUACCAGCGAAAUUAAAGAGACACUGUUAAUCGACUCCUGGCAGGUAAGCUGUUAAACGUUUUUAGAAUUGAACAUUACAUCCUGACUAUCGUGUCCUGUCGGAAUGUCCAUCCUAACAACUAACGUUUUGAGGGAUUCCAAUUAGGGAUGUUCAAUUCUUCCAUAAAGAUUGAUUCCCGAAUCGAUUUUGGAAUCGAUUUUUCUUAAUGACUGGAGUCGAUCUUUUAAAAAAUCGACUACAAAAUUGAUCUGUCGAAAUAGAUUCAAAGAUUCGUUUUCCUUUAAGCUAUACAGGGUUUCCAACUUAAACGCCACUGAUAAUAGGAUAUGACAAUUUUUUUUAUGCUAAGGUAAGUGGACCUACUUUUGACACUAACUCAGUCAUCGACACUUUCAAUUUAAUACGAUGGUAUGGUUAUUAACGUAAAUUCAAUCGUUGCUCGGUGUAAAAUAAAUAUGGUAAACAAAGUCGUUGAAUAAGACAGAAUUAAGUACAGGUAUUCAUUGAAAAAAUCGAAAAUCUCGAGAAAGUGGACUCUUCUGAAAAUUAUUUAGAAUUGAACAUCCCAAAUUGAAACCAUUCAAGUAUCCGAAUCAGUCGAUGGCUGCCAACCCUUUCCUCGCCGACUCCUUACCCCUCGAUCCUUCGUCCUCCGUUCGUCGGCAGUUCGAGCCUUUCCCAGCACCCGAUACUACCGACUUUCUUACUUGUAAAUACUAUACAUAGCGCGUGAGAAAGAUUAUUAUAUUAAUUAAGCGGUGUAAUGUUGUAAAAAAUUCUAUAUAAACGCACUGUCGCGCUGUACCAUACACUGACACGUAGGACACACGCAACAAAUGCAUAUAUUACGAAAAGGCGCGCGUAAAUCAUUGUCGUUCUCGCGUUCGUCUCCUCUCAACCCCGAUUCUCAGGCAGAGAUGGGCAAAGUCGUCAUCUAAAUAAAAAUCCCAACCUUCGAACGAAAGAUAUACGAUUUUCAUCUAUUGUUCGUCGAAUAAAAAUAAUUCGAGUUAUUCCCGUUCGACAAAUAGGGAAUUACCAUAUUUAUUCGACGGACAACGAAUAAAUACGUUUGUCCCAAGUGAAUUUAUUCAACGAAUAAGGGUACUGUUUCGUUCGACGAACAGUUUGUCUUCUGUAUCGAACAAAGUCGUUAAAUAAAAGAUGGUUUUCAUUCGUGUUUAUUCGAAGUUCAUUUAAAACCUUCGAAUGAACUUCGAAUAACGAUAUGUAUAAAGAUGGAAACCGCCAAAAGACUAACUGUGUAUCGAAUACAAAAAAGUAUCUCUGCUCGUCGAAUGAAGAUAUCUGUUCGAAGUUCAUAUUUUUCUUUGAAUAUGGUUCUCACGUAUAUAAAUGUUUCCAUCGAUGUUUAUUCGAGGGUUUCGAAAAAACUUAAAGUUUGAUGGAAAUUUUAUCCGAACCAUUCGUCGAAUAAGGACAACUGCUGUUAUUCGAACCCUUCGAAUAACGGAUGAGGGUGAAGUGUCUUUGUUCGAUUUUUUUUUUUUUUCAUUUAAAUAAUUUCUUUUUAUUCAGAUGACGCCCAUCUCUGUUCUCGGUGGACGCGACGAGGAGACCCGACGAAUAAACGCGCGACGUCCGCGUACGAUCAUUCGAUCCAGGGAUAGAGACGUUCUCCGAGGCAGGUUCCAAACAUCGAUCGCGACGGGAGAACGCGUGUCGGAUUUCUCAUUGUCGCGAUUAUUGAAAUAUUAUUUCCCUCCCUCCCCACUCCCCUGAAGCCGCGAUCGCGUUUGGAACUUGGUAUUCGGAUCACAUCCCGUUAUCGGGCGACAACCUUCUUCGACCUUAAUAUCACGAUAUUAUGAAUUAAUUAAUUAAUUAAUUAAUUAUUAUUAUUAUUAUUAUUAUUAAUUAUUAUUAUUAAUUAUUAAUAAUUAUUAUUGAUGUAUUAUUAUAAAGAUUAUAAAUUCAUUUUGAAAGAGAUAAAGAGGAAAUAAACGAUGCUUUUGUGAGUAACGAUUGUGCCUGGAUGAUGAUUCCCUUCGUGAUCGUGUUCUCCACUAAACAUCUAUCAUCCCCUAGCUCGGCCCUUGCUCCUGCUGCUGCUACCACGGAGUCCCGCGACGCCGCCCCCUGGAAAGACGCCCUCGGCACCAGAACGUUUCCCCCCUCGUACCCGAAAAUAGCGGAAGGACCAUCCACUCGAUACGAACGAGACCGCGACCGACGCUAAAGAGAAUAUGUUCGGUACGUAAACUAGAGCUGCCAGUACACGUCGAAUUUCCGGCCCAGAGGAACCGACCUUAGAAUUCGGUGCAUCGUUCAGAGGAUAAGGAUGGCCACGCACUCCCAGGAAUUGUAAUUUCAUGAUUAAAUAAAAUUGCAAACCGUUGAGGUCAAGAUAAUGUCAAAUAGUAAAUGCCCAUAUUAAACGUUAAUGUUGCAGUUAUUCUAAUAUUUACAUUGUAUGUUGAAUUCAGCAAAAUAAAAUACGCAAAACA
Molecule: long non-coding RNA, 3443 nt
Organism: Hylaeus anthracinus
Lineage: Eukaryota; Metazoa; Arthropoda; Insecta; Hymenoptera; Colletidae
Exons: 3
Source: RefSeq, a predicted model, not a curated record